ACUCGAGUGUGACCCCCCAGCACUCCUGUUGGGCAGCUCAUUGCCCUCUGUGACCCGGGUUCCAGGAAGUUCUGACGCCUCUGACCUCCAAAAGCACCUGCGUUGACGUGUACACAUCUGCACACAGACACAUCCACACAUACAUGCUUUGACUUUUUGGUGGUGAUAGGGUAUGGACAAGCAUCUCAAAUCUGAGCCAAGCGCGGGCUUUCUUCAGCUCCUCUCAGCUCCUACGUCACUCAGAAGUGUGCCUCAUAAUUAGAAUGUGAGAAACCCUCACACACCAAUUUGGGCUUUGAUAUUUGUUCCAAGGGACACUUAAAAUAAAUCCUGAA
Long non-coding RNA from Mastomys coucha (southern multimammate mouse), 335 nucleotides. RefSeq lists it as uncharacterized. The record is from RefSeq and is a predicted model, not a curated record. Lineage: Eukaryota; Metazoa; Chordata; Mammalia; Rodentia; Muridae. The transcript is spliced from 3 exons.